RNAcentral lists this ribosomal RNA (221 nucleotides) under uncultured bacterium. RNAcentral's name for it is "partial 16S ribosomal RNA". It matches the Rfam family "Bacterial small subunit ribosomal RNA", at positions 99 to 334 of the family's 1533-position model. The record is from RNAcentral.
CGGACGGGUGAGUAACGCGUAGGUAUCUAUCUCCGGGUGGGGGGACAACUGUGGGAAACUACAGCUAAUACCGCAUGAUGCCCGAGGGCCAAAGGCGCAAGUCGCCUGGAGAGGAGCCUGCGUACGAUUAGCUUGUUGGCGGGGUAAAGGCCCACCAAGGCGACGAUCGUUAGCUGGUCUGAGAGGAUGAUCAGCCACACUGGGACUGAGACACGGCCCAG